This 1477-nucleotide ribosomal RNA is filed under the name uncultured Bordetella sp. RNAcentral describes it as "partial 16S-23S ribosomal RNA intergenic spacer". It matches the Rfam family "Bacterial small subunit ribosomal RNA". Lineage: Bacteria; Pseudomonadati; Pseudomonadota; Betaproteobacteria; Burkholderiales; Alcaligenaceae. The record is from RNAcentral.
GGGUUUGAUUCUGGCUCGGAAUUGAACGCUGGCCGGAGAUGCUUUACAUGCAAGUCGAACGGCAGCACGGACUUCGGUCUGGUGGCGAGUGGCGAACGGGUGAGUAAUGUAUCGGAACGUGCCUAGUAGCGGGGGAUAACUACGCGAAAGCGUAGCUAAUACCGCAUACGCCCUUCGGGGGAAAGCGGGGACCUUCGGGCCUCGCUGCACUAUUAGAGCAGGCCGAUAUCGGAUCGCUGGUUGAGGUGAGAUGGCUCACCAAGGCGCGACGAUCCGUAGCUGGUUUGAGAGGGCAACCAGCCACACUGGGACUGAGACACGGCCCAGACUCCUACGGGAGGGCAGCAGUGGGGAAUUUUGGACAAUGGGAAACCUGAUCCAGCCAUCCCGCGUGUGCGAUGAAGGCCUUCGGGUUGUAAACACUUUUGGCAGGAAAGAAACGUGCAGGAUAAUACCCCGUGCAACUGACCAAACACCUGCAGAAUAAAGCGCAAGCUAGCUACGUGCCAGCAGCCGCGGUAAUACGUAGGGUGCGGCGUUAAUCCAUACCCUGGGCGUAAAGCGUGCGCGAGCGGUUCGGAAAAGAAAGAUGUGAAAUCCCAGAGCUUAACUUUGGAGCUGCAUUUUUAACUACCGAGCUAGAGUGUGUCAGAGGGAGGUGGAAUUCCGCGUGUAGCAGUGAAAUGCGUAGAUAUGCGGAGAACCACCGAUGGCGAAGGUAGCCUCCUGGGAUAACACUGGCCCGCUCAUGCACAGCGUGGGAGCAAACAGGAUUAGAUACCCUGGUAGUCCACGCCCUCAGCGAUCAGCUAGCUGUUGGACGCUUCAGGCCUUGGUAGCGCAACCUUGCGUAAAAGUUGACCGCCUGGAAGUACGGUCGCAAGGAUAAAACUCGAAAAGGAAUUGACGGGGACCCGCACAAGCAAGCGGUGGAUGAUGUGGAUUAAUUCGAUGCGCGAAAAACCUUACCUACCCUUGACAUGUCUGGAAUCCCGAAGGGUCGGGAGUGCUCGCAAGAGAACCGGAACACCGGUGCUGCAUAGCUGUCGUCAGCUCGUGUCGUGAGAUGGUGGGUUAAAGUCUCCGCAACAGGCGCAACCCUUGUCAUUAGUUGCUACGAAGGCACUCUAAUGAGACUGCCGGUAAACCGGAGGAAGGUGGGGAUGACGUCAAGUCCUCAUGGCCCAUAUGGGUAGGGCUUCACACGUCAUACAAUGGUCGGGACAGAGGGUCGCCAACCCGCGAGGAGCCAAUCCCGGAAAUGAUCGUAGUCCGGAUCGCAGUCUGCAGCUGAACUGCGUGAAGUCCGGAAUCGCUAGUAAUCGCGGAUCAGCAUGUCGCGGUGAAUACGUUCCCGAGGUCUUGUACCACCGCCCGUCACACCAUGGGAGUGGGUUUUACCAAUGAUUAAUAACCGUAAGGAAGGCGAUUACCACAGUAGGAUUCUUCAGACGGGGUGAAGUCGUAAUAAAGGUAG